UGCGUUUACUAAAUUUUCACAGAGCACUUGCUCUAAGCAAGCAGCAGCGUGGUUUCGGUGCCGCGAGAGCGGGGGUGGAGCGGCUGUGGAAGCCUCUUCGUGGUGGCGUGUGCAGUGCAGAGGGGGACGGGUGGCGCACCAGAUGCACUUGGUCAGGUAGAGGAGGAGAGGGACAAGCACUGGCGGGCACCGUGAGGGAAGGGGAAGGGGUCAGGUGCCCAGGAAAGCGGCUCCGAGGAGCCGUGGGCCCCUGUGUCCCUGUCUCCCGGGUCCAGUCCGGGGGGGGGGGGGGAGAUGACGCUGGCUCGGCCUCCGGUUGCUGCAUGUGCAUCGCUGCCCUGCAUCUGGCCGGGAGAGCGGUCGCCCUCGAUCCCCUGCCUAAGGCAGAGCGGGGAAGCUACUGUCUCUCCUGCGAGGACUGGGCUGCUGGGGGCUCCUCUGGGUGCAGGGCACUGUGAUGUGUGAGCCCCUUGCCCGAAUCAGGCCCUCAAUGUUACUCACACUGGGAAGCUUUCUCAAGCGUCGUGAAGGACGGAGGAUUCAGACCCAAUUUAGCUAUUGUGUAGGACACUGGGAAUGUUUGGGCUGCUGCUGGACACACGGGGCUUGCUGCUGAAAGUUCUGUGUUCAGGGAGAAAUUUCCUAUGGGAGGAGUGAGGGACGUGAGGUGCUUGACAAGUAGCCUGAUUCAGGUGGAGCGGAAGUUAGGCAAGUUUGAGACAGCGCUGCUGGUGAUGAGGAGGAGGAGAUGUGUGUCUGUGCAUGUGUGUACGUGUGCGUGUGUGAGAGAGAGAUGGCGGGGAGUACCAGGGAGACAGACACCAUGAAUUGUCCCUUCCUGUCUUUAUGACACAAGGUCAGAGGCUGCCUCUAAACCAAGAUGGCGAACCUUUUAGAGCUUUUAAUGACACGCACGGCCAGCUGUGGCUCACGAGCCUGGGUGCCCACCAGGGCCCUGGGGCCGCAUCAGCACUGUGGGUAACAGGCCUCGGGCCUGUCAGUCAGUCGGUAUGAGACAGCUGGGCGAGUCUCAUUUGUGUGGUGACCAGCCGAGCACACUGAUAGCCAUUAGUUCUUUGGGCCCAAGGUCGUGAAAUAGUUACUAUUAUUCACACCUGUCACAAAUGUAGAACCUUAACUAGCAGAGAAGUGUAAUGUCUUGCUGGAAGUCAGGUCUUUGAGAAGGCAAUGCAGGGCUCGAUUCCGGAACUUUCAGGCAACGAAUGUGCACAGUCUCCGUGUGGAGUGGUUCUCAAACCAGGGGACUAACGGAAGGGUGGCCGGCAAUCCCUGGAUCCUGUGAUGCGUGUUCAAGUGGUGCCACAGGCUGCCAGCGCUCAGAGCUGUGCUUUCGUCAUCACUGGAAACAGGCUUCUCUGAAUAUGUGCAAAGAUGAGAAACUUCAGGAGGCUUUGAAGAGCUUGGAGUCACCGUUAGCACAAAGAGAUGGGCAAUUGCGGCUGGCUGUGGUGGUACAGGCUGGAACCCUACCACUGGGGAAGCUGAGGCAGGAGGAUUGGAUGUUGAAGGUCAGCCCAGGCUGUAUUCUAAGAUCGAGGCAGCCUGAAGUACAGAGAGACCCUAUCCUCCCCCAAAAAAGAUGAUCAAAUGAGGCAUACAGUCUUUAAUUAAAAAGUUUGCUGUAAUAGCAUAUUUAAAAUAUAAUAUGCUAUCAUUAUGAUGCGUGAGUGUAAAAUGAUUGGUACUGUAGGCUCACAAAAGUGGUUUAAGUGAUACGAAGCGAUUUGUGGCUUGUUCAAGUAAUUGCUUUGAAGGAUGUGGUGGACAUUUACAUGUAUAAAUGCUGGUGUGAUAUUCAAAACGGUUCUGUUCUUUUUUCACACUGCACUUUCUUUUUUCAAAUUUUUGUUUUUAUUAGUACAAGUUGCAGUGCAUCGUGAUUACACUCAUUGUAGGGAGUUGGUGGAUGCACGUAACACAUCUUCGUGCUCUUUGCUUUCCCUUCGUCUCCCUUCCCUCCUCUCUGGGUCCUCUUCCCAUUUGAGGAAGUUCUGCCUCCCUGCUUCCUAUUAUCUCUCUCGUACUUUGCUCUUUAUUUGUCCUUUGGGUUUCUCAUGUUGGAGAAACCAGGCAGGAUUUAAGCCUGUGCUUCUGACUUAUUUCACUCCACACUAUGGUCUCAAGGUGCAUCCGUUUCCCUACAAAAGACUCGUUUGUCUCGCUUAUGGCAGAGUAGUGCUCUGCCGUGUGUAAAGACCACAUUUUCUUAUCUACUGUUCUGUUGAUGGAUGUAGGCAUUUCUCCUUUCAAAGACAGACGCUGUAUCUAUCAGUUAUAAAGGCAUUCUGAAAUUAAAGCAUGCCAUUUAGAGUGUCCGUACUUAGACCAUUAAGUUACCUUUGUACUGUACUGGAAGAACAACUGCAAUGCCACUUCUGCCAUAGACGUGUGCCUCUCACUGCUACUCCUAGGCAAGGACAAUCGGUCUAGAGGAUGAAGGGCCGCAGUUCCCCCUGUUGAGAUACAAAUGGUGAAGGGGGAUCUGCUCCAGUUGAGCCCAGCCUGGUCACGUGUGCGUGGGUGCGUGUAGGUGGGACAGCCGGCAGCGCCCCUGGGAGUCAGCGCUGUGGCUGGGCAGGGCUCUCGAUGCGGGAGGGCCCCGCUGCUGUCCAGUGUCUGCCUUGGCCAAGGCUCUGCCCGCGACACCACGUUGUCACCCGCUGGACACCCACUCCCGGUCUGAUUAAGCUCCGUACCCAGCCGUUUACCGGGCAGAGGCACAGGGCCUUUCUCCUGCGACCGCCGUCAGAGUCCACUUCCUCUUUCUCCCCCUGCUGUCCACCCUGUCGGGCCUGAAGCCGCCCAUCGGGAGCGCACGCGCCUGCCCAGCCUGGGUUUGGGCCAGGGUUCUAGUGCUUUCCAGAUUUCUUGCACUUUCUAGUGCAAAUGCGUUUCUGGGUCUUCUUUAUGCUUUUUCUCCCCCUCUUCUCUUCUGCUUCCCUCCCUUCACUUUUUGGAGGCAGGAUUUCACUCUGGAGACCAGGCUGGGCUUGAGCUCUCGAUCUUCCACCCCUGCCUCCGGGUGCUGGGAUGAGGUUCGGGAAACCCAGGAGCGUUUGUGUCCGCAGCGGUGGGAAGGACGAUGAGCAUCGUCUUCCGAGCGCAGCUGCCCUUGAAGCUGCUGCUCUGCCGUCUGACCCCUGGGGCGCCUCCCCGCGGGGCCUGCCCGUUGGGUCGCCCUCUGCCCGCGGCUGGGCCGGUCCGCGGCCUCGCACCCCGCCGCGCACGGGUCCUUCCCCGGGCCGGGUCGCACAGCUCCUGCGACACACUUUCAAACCGGCCCCGCCGUCCGUUACGUCUCGAGACCUCUCGUAAUGAAAGUACUCGGUUCAGAACAGGAAUAAUAAUGUGAAGCAAAUGAAAACGAAGGCGUCUAGGCAAGGAACAACGUACUGCUAUCUUGUGAAGAAGUGUUGCCAGGGCGACAGGCCUGGAAAUGGGCAAGUGACAGGAAAGGACAUGUGAUUUCUUCUGUGUGUGCACCUGCUGAUGUGAGAGCUGAGUACUAUGCUGUCCUCUCCAGCCACCAGAAUCAUGAUCCAAGUAAACUUCCUUACUUUACUGUCUGAAUCUCUCCCUCUGCUUGAAAUGCAUCAUGUAGUCAUUCCCAUGGGAAGGUUCUGAUUAAAGACAAAUCUGAUACGUGAGUUAGUUACAAUCUGCUGCCAGGUAUGGGAAAGGAAUAGAACCUUGGAUUCCAGACGAUGCACUAUUUCUUAUUCCACCCAGAGCAAUAUCUUCACUUACAGGACUUCUAUCUUCACCAAGUCAGUAUGCAAGGCCUUGUGACCUGUCCUCAGGAGUUGUGCAGGUUUUGGUACAUCAUCCGAGGUGGCCUUGAACUCUUUGUAGGCUGAGCUGUCCUCAAACUCAUGACACUCCUGCCUCAGCCUCCCAAAAGCUGCGAUUACAGGCACAGACCAUGUGGUGCAGGCUGGGAUCUGGAGAAGAAAAGAGGAGAAUUAGAGGAAGGUGUAAGAGGUUGCCUUGCUGAGCAGCCUUGCACAAGCAGGGAAUCUGAGACAGACUGCGGGAACAUUUGGGAGCAGCCCUGCUGGAAUGCCAACACAGCAGCUGAAGGGCAAGUCUGGUGCUGUGGGAGAGGGUGACUAUUCUGUCCAGCACUCACCAGGAGCAGAGACCCUGCAGCCAAAAGCUAAGAUAGUCUCAGAUGAACGUGACCAGGGCCAGGCUUUCUGCAUUUGCUGCAGCAGAACAAGUGGCUUGUUCAAUUCAGAAGGACCACUGUCCACACUGUGACUGCUGUCAUCAGUAAUAGCCUGUCCCAUGGCAGCCCUCUCACUUCAGAGAGCAGCUUGGCAAGCUCAGGUCUUCAUUUUCUAGGCCUUUCCAAACACUGUAUCAUGUCAUUUCCAUGUGGAAGGCUGACACUAUUUUUGUUUCAUCUGGAGGCAAUCACUGGCUAAUUGCUCCCCCAAACAGAAGCCAAGAACUUAUGAGAGAAGUCCCCUCUGCCAUAUUUGAAAAUGGGCCAGACAGAAGAUGGGAAGCAAUCACUAGUUGUGUUAUAUCCGAAUUCAUGUCAUCAUGGCUGAAAAGGGAAUUUUAGAGUCAGAUCUUGAAAAAUCUUUUUCUCAUACUUUAG
RNAcentral lists this long non-coding RNA (4627 nucleotides) under Heterocephalus glaber (naked mole-rat). RNAcentral describes it as "lncRNA (ENSHGLG00100044834.1)". The record is from RNAcentral. Lineage: Eukaryota; Metazoa; Chordata; Mammalia; Rodentia; Bathyergidae.